RNAcentral lists this transfer RNA (77 nucleotides) under Pseudomonas sp. Its description in RNAcentral is "tRNA-Met". It matches the Rfam family "tRNA". From Rfam's summary of the family: Transfer RNA (tRNA) molecules are approximately 80 nucleotides in length. Their secondary structure includes four short double-helical elements and three loops (D, anti-codon, and T loops). The record is from RNAcentral. RNAcentral also lists the same sequence under 2 other names. Lineage: Bacteria; Pseudomonadati; Pseudomonadota; Gammaproteobacteria; Pseudomonadales; Pseudomonadaceae.
GGCGGGAUGGAGCAGUCUGGUAGCUCGUCGGGCUCAUAACCCGAAGGUCGUCGGUUCAAAUCCGGCUCCCGCAACCA